This is a long non-coding RNA of Solenopsis invicta (red fire ant), 636 nucleotides long. RefSeq lists it as uncharacterized. The record is from RefSeq and is a predicted model, not a curated record. Lineage: Eukaryota; Metazoa; Arthropoda; Insecta; Hymenoptera; Formicidae. The transcript has 3 exons.
UCAUCAAUCGGAUUACAUUUGAGACAGCAAUCGUCAAUCCGAUUAGCCUAGGGAAAUUUUCUAUACUUACGUUGAGUACCAUUGUUCAAUCCAAUCCGAGAUCCGAUUAGUUAUCGUAAACACCCACGAGUCGUGAAGUAGGACUAUAUUUUGAGAUCAGUGGUGCCGAAGCAGUUAAAAACACUGGAGAUAUGUGUAUCGAGAUUUCUCUGCCAAAGCAUUUCCAAUCCAUGGUAUUUAUGUCUGUGUCGAGGUUGAGUGGCACGAAAACUGGCAGAGUCAUAAAGAACUUUACGUGACGGAGAAAAGAAGCUACAACUGAACAUAUUUACUCACUUACAAAAAAGAACACAAGGAAUGUACCAGCAAUCAAGAUAAACAAAUUAUCCCUCAAUAUCUUGAGUAAAACAAAGUGACAUUCUUUAUCCACUAGAGAUUCGAGUUGCAGAAUGCAAAAUAAAAAAGAAUAUUUUAUCUUUGCAGCAUCUACAACAAAGGAUCCAUUUCUUAAAAAGUUAGCUAAGUUCUAUAAUUUAUAUAGAAAGAACAUUUUACAUUGACAUUGUAUAAAUUUAGAAUCUAUACAUGUAUACAGGAUAUUUAACGAGAGGUGAGAAAUAAAGAUUUUUUUUCUUA